AUCUCUGGAGGGUGGUGACUGCUGCACGAGGCUGUCCUCCCAGAAGUGAACACAGCAGGAAGACCUGGAAAUCCAGGAUCUCCUCGUGGACCUAAAGAGAAUUACAGAAACAUGUGACUCUGCCUUCUCUACCCUUGGAGAUAUCCACAAGGUCAAGUUAAAGUCUUUCCUCAACCUUCUGUGGUAAAUAUACAUCAUGCCCCAUUAAGAACACAUUCAGAUCAUCUCUGGUUCUCUUCCUGAGGAAAAUUAAUCUGUACUUUAU
Molecule: long non-coding RNA, 265 nt
Filed under: Chloebia gouldiae (Gouldian finch)
Lineage: Eukaryota; Metazoa; Chordata; Aves; Passeriformes; Passeridae
Description: Erythrura gouldiae (Gouldian finch) lncRNA (ENSEGOG00005012984.1)
Source: RNAcentral